GACGAACGCUGGCGGCGUGCUUAACACAUGCAAGUCGAACGGAAAGGCCUCUUUCGGGGGGUACUCGAGUGGCGAACGGGUGAGUAACACGUGAGUAACCUGCCCUUGACUUUGGGAUAACUUCAGGAAACUGGGGCUAAUACCGGAUAGGAGCUCCUGCUGCAUGGUGGGGGUUGGAAAGUUUCGGCGGUUGGGGAUGGACUCGCGGCUUAUCAGCUUGUUGGUGGGGUAGUGGCUUACCAAGGCUUUGACGGGUAGCCGGCCUGGGGGGGUGACCGGCCAUAGUGGGACGGAGAUGAGGCAGGGGCUCGUAGGGGGGGCAGAAGUGGGGAAGUUUGAACAAGGGGUGGAGGCUGGAUGCAGCACGGCGGUGGGGGGGAUGCCGGCUUUGGGGUGAAAAACCGCUUUCGCCCAUGCCGAGGCUUGGUGUGACGGUAGGGGAAAAAGAAGCCCCGGCUAACUACGUG
This 467-nucleotide ribosomal RNA is filed under the name uncultured bacterium. RNAcentral's name for it is "partial 16S ribosomal RNA". It matches the Rfam family "Bacterial small subunit ribosomal RNA", at positions 28 to 507 of the family's 1533-position model. The record is from RNAcentral.